This 1912-nucleotide small RNA is filed under the name Pongo abelii (Sumatran orangutan). RNAcentral describes it as "retained intron". Lineage: Eukaryota; Metazoa; Chordata; Mammalia; Primates; Hominidae. The record is from RNAcentral.
GCCAUAGGGAGGCCAGGCGUGGAGGCGGCACCGGGCUCGGAGCUGGCCAGGGUCCCCUCGCCUAUGGAGCACACAGCCACCACAGGCCCCAGGCCUGGACCUCCCCCUCGGCGGGUGGAGAAUGUUGUGCUACCAGCCAAGGACUGGCUGCCAGGACCUCCUGGGGGCACCGCAGUGUGGGCCACCAGCUCGGAAGCAGAGGUCCCACCAGAUCUAGCGCUCAAUAAGGAGCAGCAGUUGCAGAUCUCCAAGGAGCUGGUCGACAUUCAGAUCACAACCCACCACCUACAGGAGCAGCACGAGGCUGAAAUCUUCCAGCUGAAGAGUGAGAUCCUUUGGCUGGAGAGCCGAGUGCUGGAGCUGGAGCUGCAUGGAGAUCCCACCAGCCAGGGCUGUGCAGUCCCAGUGGAGUCUGACCCCAGGCACCCCCGGGCACCAGCCCAAGAGCUCAGACACAAAGCCCGGGUGCCUGGACACUCUGAUGAUCGCAGAUUCCAGGUGCAGCCCAAGAACGCCGUGAACCCCGAGAACGAGCAGCACAGCCUGGGGAGCGGCCUGCUGGGGGGCCAGGAGCAGCUGCAGGGAGAAGUGAAGUGGGCGCUGGAGCGUCAAGAGGCCCGGCAGCAGGCACUGGAGAUGCGUGUGUGAGUGGCCAUCUCACCUGGGGCCCCAUCCCGGAGCAGAGAGAACUCCUCAUCGUGGGCCUGCUGAGCCUUGCCCCCGUGUCUUCAGGGCAGCCCUGGGCCGGCAGCUGCAGGGAGCCCGAGAGGAGGCCAGGGCAGCCGGGCAGCGACUAGCCACACAGGCUGUGGUGCUGUGCAGCUGCCGAGGCCAGCUCCAUCAGGCAGAGGCCGAGAACGCCCGGCUGCAGCUGCAGCUCAAGAAACUGAAGGACGAGUAUGUCCUGCGGCUGCAGCACUGCGCCCGGGAGGCAGUGGUGAGCCCUGCAGGAGCACCCUGAGGCCUAGGGAGCCCAAACUUGGCCUGGGUGUGCUGGAUAGCUUCAGGGAGACCCCAGGGCUCUGGCACUGCUCAGCCUGCUGGUGUGGGGGGAUGGUUAGAAAAGAUGGGGGGUGGGUCCCAUGCGGACCCAGCCCGCCACCUCCAGGAGCACGCAGAUGGUACAGGCCAAGCGCCAGCUACCACGGCCCUCCGGACAUUCCUGGAGGCGACUCUGGAGGACAUCCGGGCAGCGCACCGCAGCCGUGAGCAGCAACUGGCCCGGGCUGCCCGCACCUACCACAAGAGGCUGGUGGAUCUCAGCCGCAGGCAUGAGGAGUUGCUGGUUGCCUACAGGGCACCUGGGAACCCCCAAGCUAUUUUUGACGCAGCCAGCUUGGACCUGGAACCAUUGCCCGUGCCCCUGGUCACUGACUUCAGCCAUCGGGAGGACCAGCAUGGGGCACUGCUCUCAUCCCCAAAGAAGGGACCCGGUGGAGCCUCCCAGGGAGGAACGUCAGAGCCACAGGGCCUGGACGCUGCAUCCUGGGCCCAGAUCCACCAGAAGCUCCGGGACUUCUUCCGCAGCACCCAGGUAGGAGGCAAGGGCUGGCCCAGGCCCCUCCUCACACCAUGCCCCAGCUCAUGGCUUACACCCCCAUGCCAGGCAGAGCUGGAACGGGAGCGGGCACAGCUGCUGGUCCGGGCCACGAUGGCUGAAGAGCAACUUUCUGAGCUACAGGAGUACGUGGACCAGCACCUGGGCAGGUACAAACACGAAAUCCUGAGGCUGAGGAAGCUGGCAGGUGCAGGGGACCCCUGGAAAGUGGGGGCUGUGCCUCCAGCCAAGCCCCAGCAUCCAAGGACCGGCAGCCACUAGGCCGUCUCCCAAGGAGCAGAGCAGAGCCCGUCACAGCCAGCACGGAGCCCUCCCACCCAGCCCCCCAUGAAACAUGAGUCAGGAUACAACCCA